GCGGCACCGGCGGGGCGGCGGCGCUGGUGGCGCUGGGCCAAGUCGGGCCCGGCCGAGCCGCGCAGGUGCUGCCGUGCCACCCUGCCCCUGGCUAACCAGCACCAGUUCUUCAGUGGCAAGCUUUAUGUCCUUCUCCAGUAGCUAAAGCUGCCAGUUGAAGAACUGUUGAAUGUAGCCACUCUCUUCUCGUCACUGGGACCUUGGAUGCCAGCCAGAGCCGUGCCCUGAGCCACCAGGAUGAGCCACUCUGCGUUGGAGGCCUGAGGAUGAGCGUGACCGGGAUGAAGAAAGACUCCAGACAGAGCCUUGGCUGGAGGAUUGUAGGCAGCUGUGCCAAAAUGUGUCGUCCCCUCCCUCAGUGGGGUGGCACUGAGCUGGGAGGAGACUGAGAGAAGCAUUAAACAUUAUUUUGCUCA
Melospiza georgiana is the source of this 416-nucleotide long non-coding RNA. RefSeq lists it as uncharacterized. The transcript has 2 exons. The record is from RefSeq and is a predicted model, not a curated record. Lineage: Eukaryota; Metazoa; Chordata; Aves; Passeriformes; Passerellidae.